Molecule: long non-coding RNA, 1141 nt
Organism: Hipposideros armiger (great roundleaf bat)
Lineage: Eukaryota; Metazoa; Chordata; Mammalia; Chiroptera; Hipposideridae
Exons: 3
Source: RefSeq, a predicted model, not a curated record
GUGGUCCCUUGGGAAGUGCCGCUCAGUUCACAAGCUGGGACACAUUCUCAUUCCUCACUGUCACUGUGGCCACACCCCACGUACCGUGUCAGGUGGGUGGUGUGGAUGGAACGGGGCGCUGAGGUCUGCUCUGUCUGAUCUGUGUGGCCUUGUGCACAGAGAAGGGCGAACCCUCCAGUGGUCGUGAUGUGAUGUGCAUCAGGUAUGUCAGGCUGUCACUCAGCGCCCAGGUAGCCACAUCCUCGAUCGCUUGGCCAUUUACUUCAUCAGGGCCUGAGGGAGUGUGCACAAGUAUUCCGGGACUCUGGUGACGCCUGCCUUUCAGACCUGGCCACUUCUGCUCUAUGUAUUUUGAUACAAUGUUAUUGGUUGAAUCAAAAUUUAUAGAGUUUUAUAUUUUCUUGUUAUUUUGUUGCUCUGGCUGGUGUGGGUUGCCAUGUGUUCCUCUGAUGGCCGUGGUUCGUGUGGCCACUCCAACCUCCUGCUUCCUGUUGGCAUGGCGUGUGACUUCAUUCUUUUACUUUCAGCCUCUCAGGCUGUAACUGCGUCUAUUUGCCAGUAUGUAGGAUGUAGCUGGAUCUCACUCUUACCCCAUCAGACAAUCUCUGCCUUUUAGUUACAUUGUUUCAUUCAUUACACUUAAUGCCCUUACUGACAUGAGUGGACUUGGUCUGUUAUUUUAGUUUGUUUUCUGUUUACCUCAUUUGUUUUUGUCUGUUUCUGCUUCCCGGUUAACUGUGUAUUGAUUGGAAACUAUUUAUACUUCCAUGUAAACUUUUUUUUUUACUUUCUGGCUAUUCCUUUUACGUUCCUUGAAUGGUUUGAUGGUUGCUCUCGAUUACAUAUACAUCCUUCCAGCUAGCGCUGGCCCGUGUCCCAGAAAAUGGUGUCGUCCUGUAGCCACACAGCUCCACUCGCUGCACCUGGUCCUGUGUGGGAUUGUCCUGUGUGUCAUCUCUACACACGGUGUCCCACUGUCCUCAGGCCUCUGCGUCCGGUCCCUCAGCUGUUCUCAUCUACGAGCUCGGCUGGCUGCCUUUGAUCACUUGCAAGAUUUCUCUGUAUCGUUGCUUUUCGGCAGCUCGGCUAUGAUACACCCAGUCUAGUUGUGGAGGACGUUGCUUCACUGGCCCAAGUUGGC